CCCGGUGAUAUUUAAACGGCCGCAGUUAGGAGCUGUGCUAAGGUAGCGUAAUAAGUUGUCCUUUAAAUGGGGAAAGGAAUGAAUGGUUUGACGUGAGGGAAGCUGUCUUGGCUGAAGAGGAAAAACUUUUCUUUUUGGUGAAAAGCCCAAAAUAUAAAUAAAAGACGAGAAGACCCUUUCGAGCUUGAAUAAGUUGGAAUAAAUUUGUCCUGCAAAAGUUUAGUUGGGGCAACUUAGGAGUAAGGCUAAACUCCUUGAAGAUUAUAGGGAGCCAAAAGUUUUGAAUAAAGAAAAAGCUACCGUAGGGAUAACAGCGUUAUCUUUUCUGAGAGAACAUAUUGAAGAAAAG
This 349-nucleotide ribosomal RNA is filed under the name Galeommatoidea sp. MN6940. Its description in RNAcentral is "partial 16S ribosomal RNA". It matches the Rfam family "Archaeal large subunit ribosomal RNA", at positions 1954 to 2584 of the family's 2987-position model. Lineage: Eukaryota; Metazoa; Mollusca; Bivalvia; Galeommatida. The record is from RNAcentral.